Molecule: long non-coding RNA, 4876 nt
Organism: Nothobranchius furzeri (turquoise killifish)
Lineage: Eukaryota; Metazoa; Chordata; Actinopteri; Cyprinodontiformes; Nothobranchiidae
Source: RefSeq, a predicted model, not a curated record
AAGAUAGACAGGACCAUGGGCAGGAUGUUUAUACAGGAGAAUGUAAACAUUUUCCCUGGCCUUCUUUAAAUAAAAAAUCAAGCAAAAAGCCCCACUAGAUCAGCUAAUACUCAAACUGAUGCGCGUCCUCUCUGCGUGUUGGAUCUUUUUUUUGUUUGUUUUCUUUCACUCUCUUUGUAAAAUGAACACAAUUUGUGAAACGCAGUCUUAAUAUUUACGCUGGAGAAGUGAGGUGGAGGCGCAGGACUGUGCGUGCAGAGACUCGGACUGGACUUGAGCUCGACUCCUGCAGGCAGCCGGACGCGGAGUGAAGCAGGAUUAGAGAGAGGGAAGAGACACAGGCUCAUCUCUUGCUGCAUUCUUUCCAUUUUACUGGAGAGCCGCGAUGUACAGAAGUCUCGAGUGGGCAGGCGUGCGGCUUUGGCCACAGGAAGCCGUGAAUUCUUCACAGAAUGGAAGAUGUCUCGUGGAGAGACAUGCAACCCCCCUCCUCCUCCUCUCGAUCAACCACACGCCACCCCAAAAUGACCCCUGACCCUUUCGUCUGUUUAUAUCAGACCAUGGAAGUGAGAAAUAGUGAUGAGUCACUCUGGCCCUGUGUUUACACUCCGGAGUCACGCAAGGAAGGAAAUCAGCCACGGUCUGCUAAAUGUGGUGAGGUGAGAGAGAGAAGCUGUGAUUUACCUCUCAGAGACAUUAUUUACACGCUUUACACUCUUUUCACGUGUCUGAGCAGAACCUCCCUGAACCGUCUACAGGUGGUUCAGAAAGCCUGUGCUCGGCUUCUGACCAAGUCCUCCAAACACACCCACAUCACCCCGCUUCUCCUCCAGCUUCACUGGCUGCUGGUCAACUUCAGGGUUCAUUUCAAGAUCCUGGUUCUGGUCUAUAGGGCCUUACAUGGACAAGCACCAUCUUACACUGGUGAUCUUCUUAGUCCCUACACCCCCAGCAGGUCCCUGAGGUCCAGUGAUCAAAGCCUACUGGUUGUGCAGCACCAGGCUAAAGACCAAAGGUGACAGAUCAUUUGCUGCUGUGGCCCCCAGACUCUGGAACUCUCUCCCCCUGAGCCUGAGAUCAGUGGACUCAGUGGUCUCCUUUAAAAAGCAGCUGAAGACUCACUUGUUUAAGCUGGCUUUUGGAUGAACUUCUUCACCACUCUCUCUUUAUUCUGCUCUCCCCGCCUAUUCCACGUUCCUCAGGAUCCACUGAUUUCCCUCUUUUCUAUUCACUCUCUCUCUUUCUUAAAUUUUUUUAAUCACAAUUGUCUAUUUUUUUGCUCAUUUUAAAUAUAUUUUUAACCAUUUUCUAAAUUAUUUUUUUUAAUUUUGACAUUUUUUGUUUUUGUGAAGCGCUUCAAGAUUUUUUAGCUUGAGAGGUGCUCUUCUUCUUCUUCUUCUUCUUCUUCUUCUUCUUCUUCUUCUUCUUCUUCUUCUUCUUCUUCUUCUUCUUCUUCUUUAAUUCACAUCACCCCAGAAAGCGGCAGAAUUAGUGGCAGAGAGGACGUUAGAGGAGAUAAAAGGACCAAAACAUAAAGAAGAAACCAAGUUUUUGUGCCUGUUACAAUACCCAUGAUUUUAGUACAUAAAGCAGCAGAAUCGUUUAUUCAAUAUGACCACGGAUGAACUUUGAAGUGUUUUGUUUGAUUUUCUGUGGUGUUUUAGUUCUAAUAUGAGUCAGAAUCUCAACACAAAUGUGUUGUCUCAGAUUAUUUUGUUUAUUUUUUUUACAAAAAAAAGAAAAUUUUACUGACUAAACAUUUUCCUACACAAAUAUUUUUUAUAUUUUCAUGUCCCAGAAGAUAGUGAACUGAUUUUCAUCAGUGAAAAACAGAAGCUACAUUAUAGUCCUGUGAAAAGUGAGUUUCAUCCAGAUUUCUUCUUCUAUUUUUUUCCCCUUAGAUGUUUUAGGUCCACAAAUCUAAAUAUCACACACACACACACACACAUACACACACACACACACACACACACACACACACACACACACACACACACACGCACGCACGCACGCACACACACACACACACACACACACACACACACACACACACACACAAAACCUAAUGCAGAGAACAAUUUCAGAAAGAGGAUUUCAGUUAAAAUAACAACCUGGUAACCUGAAGUGAACCCUUAGCUUAACUCGUAAUGCAUCUCUUACAUUUCUCUGGACACAUUGCUACAUUGUAGAUUAAAUUAAGUUAAAUGGAAGGUUUUCCAGCAUGAACAGCCUGUUUAAGGUCAAAGGUCAGACAUUCUUCAUCAGGAUUUUCUGAGAGUGAACAGAAUUCAUGUCAGCAUUGAAAACAGCAAGUCAUCCCGGUUCUCACACCAUGACACUCCCACCACCAUGUUUGAUUGUUGGUAUGAUGUUCUGUUUUUGAACAAAAGUUCCAGUUUGAUUUGUGAGGAUGCAGAAUCCAGGAAGUCUUGGGGAUAAAUAGGAUCUUUUUGGGAUAAAUGUGAAAUGUGUCCUUGAAACUCCACCAUGACCUCUGACCUUUCACUACACAAGGCCUGGAAUGCAUUAGAUGUUCCUUUCUUGGAUGUGCCUGAUGCAUCCAUGAAAAGAUCUACUCCUCACUCUAAUAGUCUUAUUUUUCAUUAAUUGUUGAGGAACAAUCAGCGGCAUUGUUUCAUAUUCUAUUUGUAUAUUUCAGAAUUUGAUAUCAUGGAAAUCAGUCAAACUUCUAACAGCUGGGUCAUUGUCACGUUUCUGGUUUGGAUUGAAGCAGAGACGUUAUGAUUGAUGACAGAGUCCCAUGAGUAUUUCCACAUGCCUCUCAGACUGUUUUGACGUGAAAUUUUCAGCGUCUUCAUCAUAAUUCAGUUUAUUUUGACAGUAACAGGUGAUUGUAUCAUUUAGGGAUAUGCACAGUUAUAAUUUCACUUUGGGACUGUGCUCAUAUGUGUUUUCAUGUGUGUGUGUCAUUGCUGUAUAAACACUUGACACGUCCCGUGUCGUCCCUCAGCUUCCCAGCCAGCAUCCCGUGAGCGCUGUUUACUGCGGCUUCCACUACAUUUUCAAACACACACUCACUGUUGUCCUCCAGGCCGCUGGACCUUAAAUUGCUCAACGGCUGUUUUCAAUGCACAGCUGCAGUUAGUGAAGUUGCAUUGACUAAAUAAAAGUGACACUUUUUCAGUUUUUUUCCCCUCCAUCCCUAUUCUGGUGCUGGAAGCUUCAUUGCUGCGUGGUGAGGAUCCUUUUACACACCAUCAUGCACACCACCACAAUGAGAGAGUUAGAAUUGUAAGUGCUGUCAGGGACUUUGAUUGAUUGUUGUGUUUAUCACCAUGUUAUUAAGAAAUCAGGCGAACCACAGCUGGGCCUGAAGCUCCUUAAUUCCAACUGAAUCACACAGCUUAGUGCUAAUUAAAGAUUUUCUAAACAGGUUUAUUUUUGUGAUUUUUUUUAUUUUAAAUAUAGUUGUCUCUGUUUCUUAAGAGCGCUGAUUGUUGCAUUUGAGCCCUCUCUGGAACCUUUUAUUACCAACCUUUACUUGAAACCAUGGCAUGGUCCUAAAAGCAGACCAUCGACGUAAAAAACAGAAAAGUCUCUGUACAACACAAAAUGGCUAAUGAGCCCGCGUUCUCUGGAUAUGUCCAGAUUUAUCCUCGUUUGGUUAAUCGAGCCUGCGGCAGGCUGCCUUUGUGUAUUUCUGAGGUAAACAGAGUCACGGCGAAGUGGACACGCUCCUGAGUGCGUCCUGACUGAAGACAGAGAGCCCUGUGGACCUCUAUGUUUUUGAGGGUUAAAUGUGAUAAAUGCUCAUUUGGUAAUGGGCCAUGUAUUAGAGUUAAACAGCUCAUAUAGGAGCCCCAGUUGGAGCUGUUGUUGGGGGCGGUUUGAUCGAAGAAUCUAUCAGGUGGCAGAUGUUUCACGUCUGUCCCCCUCUCACUCUCACCCACAAAAAGGAGGAACUGAUGGAAUUUAAUUAAAUCCACUGAAAAUCAGAACAGAUUGUUAUCUCAUACGACCAUAUAAGGUCAUAUUGAAAUUUACUGAUCCUCAGGGUCAAAAUAGCAUUCACGGUGUUGCUAAACUACCUUAUUUUAUUCAGGAGAAAAUACAAAAGAGUUGUUAGAUGUAGUUGAAAAUGAGUUUACAAAAAUCAAAAUAUGGUUCAAUAUCAAUAGGCUUUCUGUAAACAUCGAUAAAAUCAAGUUUAUAGUUUUUUGUGGUAGUAAAAAAAUUGCUGAUGCGUUAUUAUAUGUUAAAGGAAAUAAGACAGAAAGAGUAAAAGAAGUAAAGUUUUUAGGUGUUAUGAUUGAUGAACAUUUAUUGUGGAAGUGCUAUUAAAAUUAAAAUAUCUUAAACUAUUACAGUACUAGAUAAGACGAAGGAAUUGUUGAACAAAAAUCUGUAUAACUCGUUAAUUCUUCCACGUCUGACACAUUGUAUUGAAGUAUGGGGAAGUACCAGCAAAACAUAGACACAUUAAUUUUUUUUUUUACAGAAAAGAGCAACGAGAGUUAUGAGUGGAAGCGGAUUUGGGGAUCAUAUGGAUCUGAUGUUUUCGCAACCAGAUCUAAUGAAAUUCGACAAAUUAGUAGAUUAUAUUUAUUAAAACUUAUGUACAAAGCAAAUAAAGGAGUUCUACCAAUAUAUAUUCAAACAGAUUUGUAAAAAGAGAAAGUAAUUAUAAUUUCAAAAUAAUUGAUGUUUAAAAAAACAAGAUUCCGAACAGCGAUAAUGAAAAGAUGUAUUUCAGUGAUAGGUGUCUGUUUAUGGGAUUGUCUCAACAAUGAAAUAAAACAAUCUAAAUCAUUUUCUGUAUUUAAAAAAAAGUGUCAAAUGCAUCUUGAUGAAGUAAUAAGACCGUAAGUAGACUGAUGGACUUGUUUGUGUUGGUGUGUGUGUGUGUGUGUGUGUG